Molecule: non-coding RNA, 964 nt
Organism: Camellia sinensis
Lineage: Eukaryota; Viridiplantae; Streptophyta; Magnoliopsida; Ericales; Theaceae
Source: RefSeq, a predicted model, not a curated record
GGCUCUUUGACAGAGUCUGCCCAAGUGCCAAGGGAUAUUGAUCUUUCUCCUGGUCAGCCUUUGCAAUCCAAUCAAACCUCUGGAAGCCUUGGUGUUAUUGGUCGAAGAAGUGUUUCAGACCUUGGCACAAUUGGUGAUAACCUUGGUGGAUCAUCUACAAAUUCAGGGGGAAUGCAUGACCAAUUAUACAAUUUUCAGAUGCUUGAGGCUGCUUAUUACAAACUUCCUCAACCCAAAGACUCUGAACGUGCAAAGAGCUACAAUCCGAGACACCCUGCAGCGACUCCUCCUAGCUAUCCUCAAUCACAGGCACCCAUUGUCAAUAAUCCUGCAUUUUAGGAACGAUUAGGAGCUGAAUCUUAUGGCACCGAUACCCUAUUCUUUGCGUUUUACUAUCAACAGGCAGUUUGUGCCCCAUUACCACUGUUCAACUAAGGUUACUGCAAUUUUUCCACAAAACAUUAUCACAUGUUCAGGAGACACAACUUAUGAUGAAGACAGAAAUUCUAAGAGAAGGGCAAUACUGUUGGGAGUAGGAGCAUUAGCUUUGAUUUCAUGCCCUGCAAGUUCACUCUUUGCUGAAGUCUGUUGUUUAGGAAUUUGAUUUCAGAGGGCACGAUUCUGCAUUCAAAGACCGAUAUAUGCAAUUACAAAAUGUUCGGGUGAGCGUUGGGAAUGCCCUGCACUCAAAUUUCACUGACAACCCUGACCAAGAAUCUAUUAAACAGGAAAAGCUGAUCCUUGGAAUGCUGAGCCCUAUCGAUGAAUUCUCCAACAUAAAUAGUAGGAACAACCAGUGAAUGAUACUAAACAGAAAGCAAAGGUGUGAUGUCUGAAAGUUGAUUGCUUGAAGAGGUAAUAUGUUAGUAACUUGAGAUCCUUUGUGAUUGUUAAUGUUAAUUGGAUGGUUAUAGGCAAUGUAUGAAGAAGUUUAUGACAAGCUCACAUGUGAUUGAUCCAUGUU